This 475-nucleotide ribosomal RNA is filed under the name Moraxella sp. canine oral taxon 017. Its description in RNAcentral is "bacterial SSU rRNA". It matches the Rfam family "Bacterial small subunit ribosomal RNA", at positions 9 to 480 of the family's 1533-position model. Lineage: Bacteria; Pseudomonadati; Pseudomonadota; Gammaproteobacteria; Moraxellales; Moraxellaceae. The record is from RNAcentral.
GAGUUUGAUCAUGGCUCAGAUUGAACGCUGGCGGCAGGCUUAACACAUGCAAGUCGAACGAUGAUUACUAGCUUGCUAGUAUGAUUAGUGGCGAACGGGUGAGUAAUGCUUAGGAAUCUGCCUAUUAGUGGGGGACAACAUUCCGAAAGGAAUGCUAAUACCGCAUACGUCCUACGGGAGAAAGCAGGGGAUCGUUUGACCUUGCGCUAAUAGAUGAGCCUAAGUCGGAUUAGCUAGUUGGUGGGGUAAAGGCCUACCAAGGCGACGAUCUGUAGCUGGUCUGAGAGGAUGAUCAGCCACACUGGGACUGAGACACGGCCCAGACUCCUACGGGAGGCAGCAGUGGGGAAUAUUGGACAAUGGGCGAAAGCCUGAUCCAGCCAUGCCGCGUGUGUGAAGAAGGCCUUUUGGUUGUAAAGCACUUUAAGUGGGGAGGAAAAGCUAAUAAUUAAUACCUAUAGCCCUGACGUACCCC